UCUAAUAUGGCAGAUAAGUGCAGUAGAUUUAAGCUCUAAAUAUGAAGAAUUUCAACCUUUUAUUAGAA
Molecule: transfer RNA, 68 nt
Filed under: Phoetalia pallida
Lineage: Eukaryota; Metazoa; Arthropoda; Insecta; Blattodea; Blaberidae
Description: tRNA-Leu
Source: RNAcentral